This 258-nucleotide ribosomal RNA is filed under the name uncultured bacterium. RNAcentral describes it as "partial 16S ribosomal RNA". It matches the Rfam family "Bacterial small subunit ribosomal RNA", at positions 793 to 1055 of the family's 1533-position model. The record is from RNAcentral.
GUCCACGCCUAACUAUGGAUACUCGACAUCAGCGAUACACAGUUGGUGUCUGAGCGAAAGCAUUAAGUAUCCCACCUGGGAAGUACGAUCGCAAGAUUGAAACUCAAAGGAAUUGGCGGGGUCCGCACAAGCGGUGGAGCAUGUGGUUUAAUUCGAUGAUACGCGAGGAACCUUACCUGGGCUAGAAUGCUGGGAGACCGUCUCUGAAAGGGGAUUUUGUAGCAAUACACUGCCAGUAAGGUGCUGCAUGGCCGUCGU